Molecule: non-coding RNA, 88 nt
Organism: Collariella sp. IMI 366227
Lineage: Eukaryota; Fungi; Ascomycota; Sordariomycetes; Sordariales; Chaetomiaceae
Source: the annotation of a GenBank genome assembly
GGGUGCAUGGUCUAGUGGUAUGAUUUUCGCUUCGCAUCCACCAAAUGCGCCUUGUGAAAGGUCCCCGGUUCGAUCCCGGGUGCAUCCA